UCACUCAUUGAUCCCAUGACCCCACCAAUGAUCCCACUGGUGACGUGUCUCCCAUCGAUCCCAUGACCCCACCGAUGAUCCCAAUGGUGAUGUGUCUCCCAUCGAUCCCAUGACCCCACCGAUGAUCCCAAUGGUGACGUGUCUCCCAUUGAUCCCAUGACCCCACGAUGAUCCCAAUGGUGACGUGUCUCCCAUUGAUCCCAUGACCCCCCCAGCAAUCCAACCCAUCCUACAGAUGGUCCCAUUUAUCCCAGCGAUACCAGCAAUCCCACUGAUGCCACCGAUGAUGCCACCAGUGACCCAUUGGUCCCGUGACCCCACUGAUGAUCCCAUCCAUCCCACCCAUCCCAGCAGUCCCACCGAUGAUCCCAUCCGUCCCAGUGAUCCCACUGAUACCAACUAUGAUCCCAUCCGUGAUCCCACCCGUGUCACCAUCGAUCACAUGACGUCACUGUUGAUCCCAUCCAUCCCACCAUCCCAGUCAUCUCAGUGAUCCCAUCCAUCCCAGCGAUCCCAGCGAUCCCAGUGAUCCCACCAAUCCCAGUGAUGAUCCCAUCCAUCCCAGUAUGAUCCCAUCCAUCCCAUCAAUCCCAGUGAUGAUCCCAUCCAUCCCAUGAUGAUCCCAUCCAUCCCAGUAUGAUCCCAUCCAUCCCACCAAUCCCAGUAAUGAUCCCAUCCAUCCCUCCAAUCCCACCAAUCCCAGUGAUAAUCCCACCCAUCCCACCAAUCCCAGUGAUGAUCCCAUCCAUCCCAAUAUGAUCCCAUCCAUCCCAGUAUGAUCCGAUCCGUCCCACCAAUCCCAGUGAUGAUCCCAUCCAUCCCUCCAAUCCCACCAAUCCCAGUGAUGAUCCCAUCCAUCCCAUGAUGAUCCCAUCCAUCCCACCAAUCCCAGUGAUGAUCCCAUCCAUCCCCGUAUGAUCCCAUCCAUCCCCCCAAUCCCUGUGAUGAUCCCAUCCAUCCCAGUGAUGAUCCCAUCCAUCCCAUCCAUCCCACCGAUCCCAGUGAUGAUCCCAUCCAUCCCAGUAUGAUCCCAUCCGUCCCACCGAUCCCAGUGAUGAUCCCAUCCAUCCCAGUAUGAUCCCACCAAUCCCAGUGAUGAUCCCAUCCAUCCCAGUGAUGAUCCCAUCCAUGACCCCACCCAUGUCACCCAUCGACCCCAUGACCCCAACAAUGAUCCCAUCCAUCCCAACAAUGAUCCCAUCCAUCCCAGAAAUCCCACUGAUCCCACUGAUGCCACCAGUGACCUCACCCAUGUCAACCAUUGAUCCCAUGACCCCACUGAUGAUUCUACCCAUCCCACUGAUGCUCCCAUCCAUUCCAGUGAUCCUAUUGAUCCCACUGAUGUCACCGAUGAUCCCAUUGGUGACCCCACCCAUGUCACCCAUCG
Molecule: long non-coding RNA, 1387 nt
Filed under: Gallus gallus (chicken)
Lineage: Eukaryota; Metazoa; Chordata; Aves; Galliformes; Phasianidae
Description: lncRNA (ENSGALG00010010135.1)
Source: RNAcentral